RNAcentral lists this ribosomal RNA (253 nucleotides) under uncultured bacterium. RNAcentral's name for it is "partial 16S ribosomal RNA". It matches the Rfam family "Bacterial small subunit ribosomal RNA", at positions 524 to 776 of the family's 1533-position model. The record is from RNAcentral.
UACGUAGGGCGCAAGCGUUGUCCGGAAUUAUUGGGCGUAAAGAGCUCGUAGGUGGCUUGUCGCGUCGGGUGUGAAAGCUUGGGGCUUAACUCCAGGUCUGCAUUCGAUACGGGCUGGCUAGAGGUAGGUAGGGGAGAACGGAAUUCCUGGUGUAGCGGUGAAAUGCGCAGAUAUCAGGAGGAACACCGGUGGCGAAGGCGGUUCUCUGGGCAUGUCCUGACGCUGAGGAGCGAAAGUGUGGGGAGCGAACGGG